Molecule: ribosomal RNA, 662 nt
Filed under: Weissella halotolerans
Lineage: Bacteria; Bacillati; Bacillota; Bacilli; Lactobacillales; Lactobacillaceae
Description: bacterial SSU rRNA
Rfam family: Bacterial small subunit ribosomal RNA
Source: RNAcentral
GUCGACGCCUUGUCGUUCAACUGAUUUAGAGAGCUUGCUCGAAGAAGACGUUGAACAAUGCAAGGAGUGGCGAACGGGUGAGUAACACGUGGGAAACCUACCUCUUAGUAGGGGAUAACAUCUGGAAACAGGUGCUAAUACCGCAUAACAACGAUAACCGCAUGGUUAUCGCUUGAAAGGUGGCGUAAGCUACCGCUAAGAGAUGGUCCCGCGGUGCAUUAGUUAGUUGGUGAGGUAAAGGCUCACCAAGACGAUGAUGCAUAGCCGAGUUGAGAGACUGAUCGGCCACAAUGGGACUGAGACACGGCCCAUACUCCUACGGGAGGCAGCAGUAGGGAAUCUUCCACAAUGGACGAAAGUCUGAUGGAGCAACGCCGCGUGUGUGAUGAAGGGUUUCGGCUCGUAAAACACUGUUGUAAGAGAAGAAUGAUACUAAGAGUAACUGUUUAGUAUGUGACGGUAUCUUACCAGAAAGGAACGGCUAAGUACGUGCCAGCAGCCGCGGUAAUACGUAUGUUCCAAGCGUUAUGCGGAUUUACUGGGCGUAAAGCGAGCGCAGACGGUUGGUUAAGUCUGAACUGAAAGCCCACAGCUUAACUGUGGAAGUGCUUUGGAAACUGGAUAACUUCAGUGCAGUAGAGGAAAGUGGAGCUCAGUGUGUG